Molecule: ribosomal RNA, 399 nt
Filed under: uncultured bacterium
Lineage: Bacteria
Description: bacterial SSU rRNA
Rfam family: Bacterial small subunit ribosomal RNA
Source: RNAcentral
GACGAACGCUGGCGGCGUGCUUAACACAUGCAAGUCGAGCGAUGAAACACCUUCGGGUGUGAAUUAGCGGCGAACGGGUGAGGAACACGUGAGAAAUCUGCCUUCAACUCUGGGAUAACUCCGGGAAACCGGGGCUAAUACCGGAUAUGAGCCUUGAUCGCAUGAUCGGGGCUGGAAAGUUUUUCGGUUGAAGAUGAUCUCGCGGCCUAUCAGCUUGUUGGUGAGGUAAUGGCUCACCAAGGCGACGACGGGUAGCCGGCCUGAGAGGGCGACCGGCCACACUGGGACUGAGACACGGCCCAGACUCCUACGGGAGGCAGCAGUGGGGAAUAUUGGGCAAUGGAGGAAACUCUGACCCAGCGACGCCGCGUGAGGGAUGAAGGCCUUCGGGUUGUAACC